AAAUAUCUUCAGGGCAGGGUGUAAUUCCCGACCGGCGGUAAUUUCGUUUUUACGGAAAAGUCCGCGACCCACAGUUUUGUGGUUGAUAUGGUGAAAAUCCAUAACCGACAGUAAAGUCUGGUAUGCAGAAGAAAUUA
Weissella paramesenteroides ATCC 33313 is the source of this 137-nucleotide regulatory RNA element. It matches the Rfam family "FMN riboswitch aptamer (RFN element)". From Rfam's summary of the family: The RFN element is a highly conserved domain that is found frequently in the 5'-untranslated regions of prokaryotic mRNAs that encode for flavin mononucleotide (FMN) biosynthesis and transport proteins. This element is a metabolite-dependent riboswitch that directly binds FMN in the absence of proteins. The record is from Rfam. Lineage: Bacteria; Bacillati; Bacillota; Bacilli; Lactobacillales; Lactobacillaceae.